AACGCAUAUUGCGCCCGAGGCCUUUGGCCAAGGGCAUGUCUGCCUCAGCGUCGGGUUAAUACUCGCCCCCUCUUCUCAUAUGAGUAGAACCGGGCGGAUCUGGUUGUUCCAGCAAUCAUUCAUUGAGAGCUGGAUCAGCUGAAGCACAGAGGCUAACCAAGGACCCGUCAAGGGCCGCAACUGGGUGGGCAGCUCACGCUUGCUAUAUCAUCUUGGUUGUUGGUCUGGGACUUUGUUGUUCGGCCCAAAACAGGAAACCCUUCUUUAUUUUCUCGACCUGAGCUCAGGCAAGAACACCCGCUGAACUUAA
This 310-nucleotide unclassified non-coding RNA is filed under the name uncultured fungus. RNAcentral describes it as "partial contains 5.8S ribosomal RNA, internal transcribed spacer 2, and large subunit ribosomal RNA". The record is from RNAcentral. Lineage: Eukaryota; Fungi.